CGAAUUUCUUUAACGGCUUUAAUAACUGGUCCAUUUUCGGAAUCGGCCAUGCUACCACAAUAGUCCUUUUUGGACUCGAUGACACCAAACAGAAUUACACUACGAAGACCUUUUUUGACGAGAGGACCCAAAAACUCUUCCAAUCUAUUAACACCCCAUCUAAAUUGAUUAGGCAUGCUAUCAAUGGCUUCCUUAGCAUCAUCUAUUUCGGAAAUGAAGAUAGGAUACAUUAGAGAUGACUUGGUAAUGGGACGUACACCUUGCCAUUCACGAAGCAACGGGUUUGAAUACCCAGCAUGCAAAAGAGAACUGAUAUCAACAGGCAUAUUAAAUACUAACUGACAAAAUUUAUUUGAUUUUUCCUAAAGAUGUAAAACUGCGUAAAAAAAGCAGAUUUGUGACAAAUGGAACUAAUGGACCAGCAAAAGCGCCUUUUAUUGGUUAUUUAAAAAAGUUCUAGCGGAAGAUCAACAAGAUUUCCUAAGAAAUAUUUUUAAAAAGGUAAGUGGCAGAUGGCGAGAGGUUGGCGAAGGUUAAGAUAAAUAAGUUUAACUUUUUUUUAAAAAAUCGGGCAUCGGACCACGAUAUUUGUUGAUUACAUAACAAUAGUAUCACUCCUGAAUAAAUUGUUUGUCCUUGAAGAAAUUAAUUGUCGUAAGGGAAUGCUGGGAGUAUUCAAACAAGCGAAACAGGACGAACGCCAAAAGAAAAUGACCAAAUGAAAAAUUUAGAUAUCAUUUAGUUUACAAGGUGAUCUCAUUCUCCAUUUCAUUAGGAAGUGAAGAUACUUGGAACUUGGGUUUGCUGUCGGCUUUACCAAUUCUGAAAUAGAAGAAACAAUAUGAAUAAAUGGACAGAACAAUAAUAUUUAUUUUAACCAAUUCUUGG
Non-coding RNA from Schizosaccharomyces pombe (fission yeast), 888 nucleotides. The record is from the annotation of a GenBank genome assembly. Lineage: Eukaryota; Fungi; Ascomycota; Schizosaccharomycetes; Schizosaccharomycetales; Schizosaccharomycetaceae.